AGGACGAACGCUGGCGGCGUGCUUAACACAUGCAAGUCACGGGGGUCCCGCAAGGGAUAACCGGCGAACGGGUGCGUAACACGUGAACAACCUGCCCUCGUGUGGGGGAUAGCCGGGCUAACGCCCGGGUAAUACCGCAUACGUUCUCUUUGGGGAGUCCCGAGGAGAGGAAAGCUCCGGCGCACGGGGGAGGGGUUCGCGGCCUAUCAGCUAGUUGGCGGGGUAAUGGCCCACCAAGGCGACGACGGGUAGCU
Molecule: ribosomal RNA, 254 nt
Filed under: uncultured soil bacterium
Lineage: Bacteria
Description: partial 16S ribosomal RNA
Rfam family: Bacterial small subunit ribosomal RNA
Source: RNAcentral